Molecule: ribosomal RNA, 914 nt
Filed under: uncultured archaeon
Lineage: Archaea
Description: bacterial SSU rRNA
Rfam family: Archaeal small subunit ribosomal RNA
Source: RNAcentral
UUCCGGUUGAUCCCGCCGGACCUGACUGCUGUCGGAUUGAUACUAAGCCAUGCGAGUCUUUGCAGUAAUGCAAGGCAUACGGCUCAGUAACACGUAGUCAACUUACCCUAUGGACGAGGAUAAUCUCGGGAAACUGAGCAUAAUACUCGAUAGAUCAUAAUGCCUGGAAUGGUUUAUGGUUGAAAUGAUUCGUCGCCAUAGGAUGGGGCUGCGGCCUAUCAGCUCGUUGGUGAGGUAAUGGCCCACCAAGGCGAUUACAGGUACGGGCUCUGAGAGGAGAAGCCCGGAGAUGGGUACUGAGACAAGGACCCAGGCCCUAUGGGGCGCAGCAGGCGAGAAAACUUUGCAAUGUGCGAAAGCACGACAAGGUUAAUCCGAGUGAUUUCUGCUAAAGAAAUCUUUUGCAAGUCAUAAAACCACUAGUGAAUAAGGGGUGGGCAAGUUCUGGUGUCAGCCGCCGCGGUAAAACCAGCACCUCAAGUGGUCAGGAGGAUUAUUGGGCCUAAAGCAUCCGUAGCCGGCUCUGUAAGUUUUCGGUUAAAUCCAUGUGCUCAACGCAUGGGCUGCCGAAAAUACUGCAUAGCUAGGGAGUGGGAGAGGUAGACGGUACUCGGUAGGAAGGGGUAAAAUCCUUUGAUCUAUCGAUGACCACCUGUGGCGAAGGCGGUCUACCAGAACACGUUCGACGGUGAGGGAUGAAAGCUGGGUGAGCAAACCGGAUUAGAUACCCGGGUAGUCCCAGCUGUAAACGAUGCAGACUCGAUGAUGCAUUGGCAUAUAGCCAGUGCAGUGUCGCAGGGAAGCCGUUAAGUCUGCCGCCUGGGAAGUACGUACGCAAGUAUGAAACUUAAAGGAAUUGGCGGGGGAGCACCACAAGGGGUGAAGCCUGCGGUUCAAUUGGAAUCAACGCCGGA